This 650-nucleotide ribosomal RNA is filed under the name uncultured eukaryote. RNAcentral's name for it is "SSU rRNA". It matches the Rfam family "Eukaryotic small subunit ribosomal RNA", at positions 591 to 1262 of the family's 1831-position model. The record is from RNAcentral.
CUCAUAGCGUAUAUUUAAGUUGUUGCAGUUAAAAAGCUCGUAGUCGGAUUUUGGCUGAGAACGGUCGGUCCGCCGUUAGGUGUGCACUGACUGGUCUCAGCUUCCUGGUGAGGAGGUGUGCUUCAUCGCCACUUAGUCACCGUGGUUACUUUGAAAAAUUAGAGUGUUCAAAGCGGGCUUACGCUUGAAUAUAUUAGCAUGGAAUAACACCAUAGGACUCCUGUCCUAUUUCGUUGGUCCCGGGACGGGAGUAAUGAUUAAGAGGAACAGUUGGGGGCAUUCGUAUUUCAUUGUCAGAGGUGAAAUUCUUGGAUUUAUGAAAGACGAACUUCUGCGAAAGCAUUUGCCAAGGAUGUUUUCAUUGAUCAAGAACGAAAGUUGGGGGCUCGAAGAUGAUUAGAUACCAUCCUAGUCUCAACCAUAAACGAUGCCGACUAGGGAUUGGCGGAUGUUAAUUGAUGACUUCGCCAGCACCUUAUGAGAAAUCAAAGUUUUUGGGUUCCGGGGGGAGUAUGGUCGCAAGGCUGAAACUUAAAGGAAUUGACGGAAGGGCACCACCAGGCGUGGAGCCUGCGGCUUAAUUUGACUCAACACGAGGAAACUUACCAGGUCCAGACAUAGUAAGGAUUGACAGAUUGAGAGCUCUUUCU